RNAcentral lists this ribosomal RNA (250 nucleotides) under uncultured bacterium. Its description in RNAcentral is "partial 16S ribosomal RNA". It matches the Rfam family "Bacterial small subunit ribosomal RNA", at positions 524 to 773 of the family's 1533-position model. The record is from RNAcentral.
UACGUAGGGUGCAAGCGUUAAUCGGAAUUACUGGGCGUAAAGCGUACGCAGGCGGCCAUGUAAGACAGGUGUGAAAUCCCCGGGCUCAACCUGGGAACUGCACUUGUGACUGCAUGGCUAGAGUUUGUCAGAGGGGGGUGGAAUUCCACGUGUAGCAGUGAAAUGCGUAGAGAUGUGGAGGAACACCGAUGGCGAAGGCAGCCCCCUGGGAUGUGACUGACGCUCAUGUACGAAAGCGUGGGGAGCAAAC